CCAAUAGCGUAUAUUAAAGUUGUUGCAGUUAAAAAGCUCGUAGUUGAAUUUCGGGAUUGGCGCAUCGGUCGUGCCUUACGGGGUAUGAACUGGUGCAGUCAAUUUCUCACCUUCUGGAGAACCGCGAUGUCCUUAAUUGGGUGCCGCGGGGAACCAGGACCUUUACUUUGAAAAAAUUAGAGUGUUUAAAGCAGGCAUUUUUGCUUGAAUACAUUAGCAUGGAAUAAUAAAAUAGGACGGCAUGGUUCUAUUUUGUUGGUUUCUAGGACCAACGUAAUGAUUAAUAGGGAUAGUUGGGGGCAUUAGUAUUCAAUUGUCAGAGGUGAAAUUCUUGGAUUUAUUGAAGACUAACUACUGCGAAAGCAGUUGCCAAGGAUGUUUUCAUUAAUCAAGAACGAAAGUUAGGGGAUCGAAGACGAUCAGAUACCGUCGUAGUCUUAACCAUAAACUAUGCCGACUAGGAAUCAGACGAUGUUAAUUUUUUAAUGACUCGUUUGGCACCUUACG
RNAcentral lists this ribosomal RNA (507 nucleotides) under uncultured Glomeromycotina. RNAcentral's name for it is "partial small subunit ribosomal RNA". It matches the Rfam family "Eukaryotic small subunit ribosomal RNA", at positions 591 to 1092 of the family's 1831-position model. The record is from RNAcentral. Lineage: Eukaryota; Fungi; Glomeromycota.